RNAcentral lists this ribosomal RNA (557 nucleotides) under uncultured bacterium. RNAcentral describes it as "bacterial SSU rRNA". It matches the Rfam family "Bacterial small subunit ribosomal RNA", at positions 102 to 694 of the family's 1533-position model. The record is from RNAcentral.
ACGGGUGAGUAACGCGUGGGAAUCUACCCAUCCCUACGGAAUAACGCAUGGAAACGUGUGCUAAUACCGUAUACGCCCUACGGGGGAAAGAUUUAUCGGGGAUGGAUGAGCCCGCGUUGGAUUAGCUAGUUGGUGGGGUAAAGGCCUACCAAGGCGACGAUCCAUAGCUGGUCUGAGAGGAUGAUCAGCCACAUUGGGACUGAGACACGGCCCAAACUCCUACGGGAGGCAGCAGUGGGGAAUAUUGGACAAUGGGCGCGAGCCUGAUCCAGCCAUGCCGCGUGAGUGAUGAAGGCCUUAGGGUUGUAAAGCUCUUUCACCGGAGAAGAUAAUGACGGUAUCCGGAGAAGAAGCCCCGGCUAACUUCGUGCCAGCAGCCGCGGUAAUACGAAGGGGGCUAGCGUUGUUCGGAAUUACUGGGCGUAAAGCGCACGUAGGCGGAUCGAUCAGUCAGGGGUGAAAUCCCAGAGCUCAACUCUGGAACUGCCUUUGAUACUGUCGAUCUGGAGUAUGGAAGAGGUGAGUGGAAUUCCGAGUGUAGAGGUGAAAUUCGUAGA